RNAcentral lists this ribosomal RNA (551 nucleotides) under uncultured bacterium. Its description in RNAcentral is "bacterial SSU rRNA". It matches the Rfam family "Bacterial small subunit ribosomal RNA", at positions 773 to 1324 of the family's 1533-position model. The record is from RNAcentral.
AGAGAAUAGAUACCCCGGUAGUCCACGCCGUAAACGAUGGAUACUUGGUGUUGAAGGUAUUGACCCCUUCAGUGCCGUAGCUAAACGCGUUAAGUAUCCCGCCUGGGGAGUACGGUCGCAAGAUUAAAACUCAAAGAAAUUGACGGGGGCCCGCACAAGCGGUGGAGAAUGUGGUUUAAUUCGAUGCAACGCGAAAAACCUUACCUGGGUUUGGCAUCCUCUGAAAGCCGUAGAGAUACGGAAGGCCCGAAAGGGACAGAGAGACAGGUGCUGCAUGGCUGUCGUCGGCUCGUGUCGUGAGAUGUUGGGUUAAGUCCCGCAACGAGCGCAACCCUUAUCUUUAGUUGCCAGCAUUAAGUUGGGCACUCUAAAGAGACUGCCAGCGUUAAGUUGGAGGAAGGUGGGGAUGACGUCAAGUCCUCAUGGCCUUUAUAUCCAGGGCAACACACGUUCUACAAUGGUCGGUACAAGCGCUGCGAAACUGCGAAGUGGAGCAAACCGCAAAAAACCGAUCUAAGUUCAGAUUGGAGUCUGCAACUCGACUCCAUGAA